UUAUGGCUCAGGACGAACGCUGGCGGCGUGCCUAACACAUGCAAGUCGAGCGAGCUUGCCUAGAUGAUUUUAGUGCUUGCACUAAAUGAAACUAGAUACAAGCGAGCGGCGGACGGGUGAGUAACACGUGGGUAACCUGCCCAAGAGACUGGGAUAACACCUGGAAACAGAUGCUAAUACCGGAUAACAACACUAGACGCAUGUCUAGAGUUUGAAAGAUGGUUCUGCUAUCACUCUUGGAUGGACCUGCGGUGCAUUAGCUAGUUGGUAAGGUAACGGCUUACCAAGGCAAUGAUGCAUAGCCGAGUUGAGAGACUGAUCGGCCACAUUGGGACUGAGACACGGCCCAAACUCCUACGGGAGGCAGCAGUAGGGAAUCUUCCACAAUGGACGAAAGUCUGAUGGAGCAACGCCGCGUGAGUGAAGAAGGGUUUCGGCUCGUAAAGCUCUGUUGGUAGUGAAGAAAGAUAGAGGUAGUAACUGGCCUUUAUUUGACGGUAAUUACUUAGAAAGUCACGGCUAACUACGUGCCAGCAGCCGCGGUAAUACGUAGGUGGCAAGCGUUGUCCGGAUUUAUUGGGCGUAAAGCGAGUGCAGGCGGUUCAAUAAGUCUGAUGUGAAAGCCUUCGGCUCAACCGGAGAAUUGCAUCAGAAACUGUUGAACUUGAGUGCAGAAGAGGAGAGUGGAACUCCAUGUGUAGCGGUGGAAUGCGUAGAUAUAUGGAAGAACACCAGUGGCGAAGGCGGCUCUCUGGUCUGCAACUGACGCUGAGGCUCGAAAGCAUGGGUAGCGAACAGGAUUAGAUACCCUGGUAGUCCAUGCCGUAAACGAUGAGUGCUAAGUGUUGGGAGGUUUCCGCCUCUCAGUGCUGCAGCUAACGCAUUAAGCACUCCGCCUGGGGAGUACGACCGCAAGGUUGCAACUCAAAUGAAUUGACGGA
This 941-nucleotide ribosomal RNA is filed under the name uncultured Bacillota bacterium. RNAcentral describes it as "bacterial SSU rRNA". It matches the Rfam family "Bacterial small subunit ribosomal RNA", at positions 17 to 917 of the family's 1533-position model. The record is from RNAcentral. Lineage: Bacteria; Bacillati; Bacillota.